UACAGAGGUCUCAAGCGUUGUUCGGAUUCAUUGGGCGUAAAGGGUGCGUAGGUGGCGAGGUUAGUCAGGUGUGAAAUCUCGGGGCUCAACCCCGAAACUGCACUUGAUACUGCCUUGCUAGAGUACUGGAGAGGAGAUUGGAAUUUACGGUGUAGCAGUGAAAUGCGUAGAUAUCGUAAGGAGGACCAGUGGCGAAGGCGAAUCUCUGGACAGUUACUGACACUGAGGCACGAAGGCCAGGGGAGCAAACGGG
RNAcentral lists this ribosomal RNA (253 nucleotides) under uncultured bacterium. RNAcentral's name for it is "partial 16S ribosomal RNA". It matches the Rfam family "Bacterial small subunit ribosomal RNA", at positions 524 to 776 of the family's 1533-position model. The record is from RNAcentral.